CACACCCACACUGCACCACAACAUUGCACCACAUUGCACUACAUAACACAUACAUAACAAAAUCAACAGUUCUUUUAAGAACUUCUCUCUCCCUCUAUGUCUGUCCUUCUCAGAGUAUGCCUGAGAGAAAUAAAGAAGGUGUCCCGCUGCAGUACCCCCUGCUAUAUGGAGCCCCACAUGCUGGGCUGGAGGCCUCUCAUGCUGUCCACGGUCGAGCCCAGGCUGAUUUACUUCCUCUUCCCGAGGGA
Molecule: long non-coding RNA, 248 nt
Organism: Perca fluviatilis (European perch)
Lineage: Eukaryota; Metazoa; Chordata; Actinopteri; Perciformes; Percidae
Exons: 3
Source: RefSeq, a predicted model, not a curated record